GACGGGCGGGGAUUGGGGGGGGCAGGGACGUAAUCAACGCAUGCUGAUGACAUGCGCUUACUAGGCAUUCCUCGUUGAAGAGCAAUAAUUGCAAUGCUCUAUCCCCAGCACGACAGAGUUUAACAAGAUUACCCAAACCUUUCGGCUAAGGAAAUGAACUCGUUGCCUCUGUCAGUGUAGCGCGCGUGGGUAUCAGAACAUCUAAGGGCAUCACAGACCUGUUAUUGCCUCAAACUUCCAUCGGCUUGAGACAAUAGUCCCUCUAAGAAGCCAGCGACCCGCCAAAGAUGUUUUGGUUGUUUAGCUGUUUAAGUUCACUUGCGUAAGCGCGAAGGAUCAGAUUUAUCACUGGACGGAACGAAGGACCGGCCAUGCCGCCACCGCACACAAAACUAAUCAAGGAGCUCACAAUCAGGGAACCCGAAUUGAGUAAGGACCGUGAUGGAUCCUCAACGUGAAGAGAUAUAAUCCGGCCCAGGGGACCGCCCGUUGGUAUAUAUCUUCGCGAGACUUCUCUCGAGAAUCACACUGCUCCCCUUCCCUCCCCGUUGGAUGUCAUAUAGUUUGAUGAACUCAUAGAAAUAGACCGUCGGACCAACACUAGCCGGGUAUACUUGGCUUUUUAUUUUUACUUGUAUUUGGGAGAUCUUCUCGGGGCUCCUACUCGAUAUCAGUUUUUCAAAUGUAAGGUUCUUUUUUUAAAUUUUAUCGCGAUAGAGCGACGCCGCGCCAUCCUAAGUUGGACCACUACGCAGUAUAGAUUGAUUAUGCGAACGCGACAUGCAAUCUUUUAAAUCUCCCCGGGAUUGGUUUGUGAAUAUUUAAUGCGGUAUACCAGCCCCUUUUCUGA
This 850-nucleotide ribosomal RNA is filed under the name uncultured fungus. RNAcentral describes it as "partial 18S ribosomal RNA". Lineage: Eukaryota; Fungi. The record is from RNAcentral.